Molecule: non-coding RNA, 318 nt
Organism: Pelobates cultripes (western spadefoot toad)
Lineage: Eukaryota; Metazoa; Chordata; Amphibia; Anura; Pelobatidae
Source: the annotation of a GenBank genome assembly
AUACAUGCUGGGCUGCACUGAUAAGAAAUCUUGGAAAAGUUACAAACUUGGUAAAAGGUAUAAAAGACAGAGAAACUUGGCACUCACUUGGAGAACUACCCACCUGUAAUGCGGACGCGUGUUGCUGGUCUCUGCUGUUCCCAUAGAGGGUCCCUCCAAGCCUGACUGCCGGUUCCACCAGUCACGUGCAGAGGACACAAGCCCCUCUAAUGGUGAUGUAUACUUAAGCUGAUAUAUCUAGAUACUAAGCUGUUUUGAAGUGAAUGCAUGCAACUACUUAAGGAGAGUUAAGCUUACUCUGUAUUGGGUCCCCUUGUG